AAUUCGAUUUGGUUUUCAAGAAGGAACUUCUAAUUUUUUUAUACAAUUUUUAUAAAAAAAGAUGUAGAAAAUUUAUUUUAUUUAAUAAUUAUAAAUUAUUGAGAAUUAGAAAAGUAUUCUAGCUAAAUUUGUGCCAGCAGCAGCGGUUAAACAAAUAGAGAAAUUCUUUUUUUAGUAAAAUUUAAUAAUAUUAUUAAAUUAUUUAUUAAAAAUAAAGGUGAAAUUUAUUUUUAAAAUUAAAUUAAUAUAAAAUUAAAAUUCUUGAAUUAAACUAGGAUUAGAUACCCUAUUAUUUAAGAGCUAUAUAUUGUUAGUAAAUAAUUAUUACGAAAGCAAAAAAUUAUGGCGGUAUUUUAAGCUUUUCAGAGGAAUUUGCUCUUUAAUGGAUAAAACACCUAAAUCUUACUUGAAUUUGUUAAGUCAAUUUGUAUACCACUAUAAAAUUAAUUAUUUGCUUUAAUUAAUAAAGUUUAUAAUUUUUAAAACAAAUUAAGUCAAGGUGCAGUAAAAAUUUAAGAAUGAAGUGAAUUACAUUUCUUCUAAGAGAUUAAUGCAAUUAAAAAUAGAAUUAGGAUUUGAAAGUAAAAUUAAAAUAUAAUGUUAAUUUGAAUAAAGCUCUAAAAUAUGUACAUAUCGCCCGUCACUCUUUAUUAAGAUAAGUCGUAACAAAGUUAAAAUACUGGAAAGUGUUUU
This 693-nucleotide non-coding RNA is filed under the name Rhipicephalus evertsi. The record is from RNAcentral. Lineage: Eukaryota; Metazoa; Arthropoda; Arachnida; Ixodida; Ixodidae.